GAUGAACGCUAGCGGCAGGCCUAAUACAUGCAAGUCGAACGGAUAUAUGUUUUUCGGAAUAUAUAUUAGUGGCGCACGGGUGAGUAACACGUACAUAACUUGCCCUCAAGCGGGGGAUAGCCUUGGGAAACUGAGAGUAAUACCCCAUAGAAUUAUUGGACGGCAUCGUUUGAUAAUUAAAACUACGGUGCUUGGGGAUAGAUGUGCGUCUGAUUAGCUAGUUGGUGAGGUAACUGCUCACCAAGGCGACGAUCAGUAGGGGGCGUGAGAGCGUCGGCCCCCCACACGGGUACUGAGACACGGACCCGACUCCUACGGGAGGCAGCAGUAAGGAAUAUUGGUCAAUGGAGGGAACUCUGAACCAGCCAUGCCGCGUGAAGGAUGACGGCCCUCUGGGUUGUAAACUUCUUUUGGAUGGGGACGAAAAAACGGGAUUUAUCCUGGACUGACGGUACCAUCAGAAUAAGCACCGGCUAACUCCGUGCCAGCAGCCGCGGUAAAGU
Molecule: ribosomal RNA, 503 nt
Filed under: uncultured bacterium
Lineage: Bacteria
Description: bacterial SSU rRNA
Rfam family: Bacterial small subunit ribosomal RNA
Source: RNAcentral